This 1239-nucleotide ribosomal RNA is filed under the name Triticum aestivum (bread wheat). Its description in RNAcentral is "partial small subunit ribosomal RNA". Lineage: Eukaryota; Viridiplantae; Streptophyta; Magnoliopsida; Poales; Poaceae. The record is from RNAcentral.
AUGAACCAUCUGCAAAAACUCGAAGUCCUUGACCUGAGCGUCAACCGGUUGCAUGAUAGUAUCUCAGAUGCAAUUAUCAACUGCUCCAGCUUAAGGGAAAUCGAUCUUAAUACAAACUUCCUAGUAGGCGAAAUUCCUCCAAAAGUAGGCCUCCUCUCCAAUCUCUCACUUUUGCGACUUUGCUGGAAUAAUCUCACCGGGAUCAUCCCGCCAAUCCUCGGCAACAUCACAAGCAUACAAAGACUUGGCCUUGCGUACAAUAAUCUAACUGGACGUAUUCCUAAUGAGUUUGGGAAACUGACAAAUGUGUGGAGGUUGAACCUAGGGGGAAAUAGGUUGUUAGUUGGAUUCCCUUGGUUUCUCUUCAAUCUUUCUAAAUCUCUUCAAAUAUUAGGCUUGGAGUCAAAUAUGCUAAACAAUACACUACCACCUACCAUAGGCAACGACCUACCAAAUCUCCAAGAGCUUUACUUGAAUAGCAACAUGUUUGAAGGUCAAAUACCGGCUUCACUAGGCAAUGCUACAUGGCUGCAAACGCUAGAAUUAGGAAAUAACAAUUUCACUGGUGAAAUUACAAGCUCUUUAGGCAAACUUUCAAAACUUCAUUUAUUAUACCUUGGGUUUAACAAUCUUGAAGCUAUUGAAAGCCAAAUCUGGGAAUUCUUUAGCGCGUUAACAAACUGCACUAGUCUCGAAGCACUGUCGCUAUAUGAAAAUCAGCUACAUGGAGCUAUACCGAAUAUGAUAGGUAACUUCUCCCGUAGCCUCACUAAAUUAUAUCUUGGUCGAAACAAUCUUUUGGGGAAGUUGCCCCCAAGCAUAGGGAAUCUUGGAAGCUUGUUUUCUCUAGUACUUGAAGAUAACAAUUUAACAGGUACGAUUGCACAAUGGAUUGGGAAGCUAACACAGUUACAAAUUCUUUCCCUCCAAGCGAACAGCUUCAUUGGGACAUUGCCAUCAUCCCUUGGCCAGCUUACUCAGUUGACAUAUCUCGAUCUAGGAAACAAUAAACUUGGAGGCCCUAUACCACCCGCCUUAGGGAACUUGAAACAACUCUCGCUUUUAGACCUUGGUCAGAACAAUCUUGAGGGUAACAUACCUAUUCAGGUUGGUAGCCUUACAUCACUUUACAAACUAGAUCUUUCGUCAAACAAUCUUACUAGUAAAAUUACUGAUACUCUGUUCAAAUGUCAGAACAUACAAACCAUGCAAAUGGCCAAACCUUUCAGUACAAUCUAA